Rosa chinensis is the source of this 936-nucleotide long non-coding RNA. RefSeq lists it as uncharacterized. Lineage: Eukaryota; Viridiplantae; Streptophyta; Magnoliopsida; Rosales; Rosaceae. The record is from RefSeq and is a predicted model, not a curated record. The transcript has 2 exons.
CAUCAAUCGUUCAUCACCAUCUCCACCUCACGGUGUGUACCCUCAAUCCCCGGAAUAGAACGAUCCCUAUUUAUUACGUACUACUAAUGACAUUUCAGGGUUAAAUUAUGCGCUUGCUUUUUAGCUGCAUCAAAAGGAUCCGGAUCCCAGCCACACUGCCCAUUCUCCAGUGUCAUCCUUCCAGCGAAAAAGUCUUAGCUUGUUAGGCCAUUCUCUUAACAAGUAUAAGGCAGAGAGCUAUAGGAAAUUUUUAGAGAAUUUGUGAUGAAAUAUAUAAAAAUGAAGGAGCUAGAGAAUGAAAGAACUUUCAACAUUUUUUGGGUUUUCAUAGAUAACUUGCUUGAUUAUUCACGUUUCAAGUGCACAUACUGCAUACCCAUUAGCUUGUUAAACGAAUGUUUGCCGAUUCGAAUUCCCGAAUACGGCGUUGUAUCGAAUGCCUUACAUAAGCACGUCGGCGUUCUCGCUGCUGCUUAUUCGAAUCCUCUUUCUCUUUUUUAUUUCUUUUGGUUACCUUCCUGCCUGGAAUUUUCCUUCCUGGCAUUCUGCUAAUGGGUUAUGGUUAUGUUAUGUAUGGUUUUGAGAUUUGGCUUAUGGAGUUCUGGUGUUGGAAUCUGGUUUUCUGUUCAUGCGCUAGUAAGGUUUGGCUGGCUUCUCAGUUGUUGGUUGCAGCUCUUGUGACGUUUCUGUGUCACGCGGUGGCUCGAUUGGUGGCGGCGACGGCACGAUCAAUCUCCUCUUCUGCUGGGCUUGCAUGUGGGUUGGUUGCCUUUGGGCUUGCUUCUUGUUGGAUUUUGUUGUUUGCUUCCUUGCUCAUGUACUUUUGGCCAUAGUUGGGUCUUUGUGUUGUAAGUUUGUGUUGAUACUUUGUGAGUUAACAAAAAGGAUCCUUUCACUGCCAAAAAAAAAAAAAACUUGCUUGAGACAAAAUUUCAA